GACAGUUCGGGCGCCGGCACACGCCGCCGGCUCCCCCGCGUACCUAUGCUACUAUGUUGGCAUAGGUUACAUCAUGUGUCUACCCCACUAUAUAUGAGAGGCCUAGGAUACAAGUGUCCUAUCAGGACACGACCCCAUAUCCUGUCUAAACACAAUACUACUCAGAGUCCAACUGUAACCUACCGUGUACACAAUAUUCGACACAACUCUAACAAACUCCACCUUGGCGAAUAUUCUCCACCACCUUGAAUUCGUCUAUGCGUCAAACUUCCAUGUACAUUGAACUUGAGCUUAUCCAUGAGCACCACCGCUACUCCAAAGACUCCAUGCGACGCCACCUUCAACUUGUAGUUCCUUCUUUUCCAGACCAUAGUCAACGCUUGAACGAAAUUAAGCUCCACAUUACUCUAGUUGAGCUCCCAACUGAACUCAACAUCAUCGCUCUUCCUUGACCGCCUGUCUGAAACUUGAAGGAAUUUCAUCAUUGCUUGUAGCCAUCCCGAGUCAAAUUCGCAGUUGUCUCACCACAUGUAUGACCACCAGAGCCCUGGCCCGUCUCCAUGUCCCGUGUGUAUCGCACGCCUCGCCGCUAUUACCGCGUCGAGCCUCUGCUGUCCCGGUCGAGUCUCAAGGAUCGCGAACCCACACCACUCAACCCCCACUGCAGAGUACCACCGAUCAUCACCGACCGGUGUCGAGUAUCACGUCUCCAUCAGACCACUGGUACCCAGUCCGAUCAACGUGUCUCUCGCUAUUCGCUGAAAUAGGCUUCGACUCUCCAUGCAUUUACGCCGUAGCCCCUCCAUCAGCACAGAGUGAAGUCUUCCACCAGACUCCAGCUCCACCUUCAACAUGACUUCAUGUAGCUGGCCAUGCUACCCCGCGCCCUGUCGACUUCAAGCUCUCAUGUGUACACUGCCUUGAAUCAACCCCUCGUCAUAGUCUGUUGAAACCGCACAAGCCCUCAUGCUUGCACCACGUGUUUCCACGCCCCAGAAGUUGGCCACCAUCAGCAUCACGCUCCUAUGUCGUCAUCGCUGAAAUCACCGCCGUCUUCUGCUUUGACCGACAUCCCCAUCGAUCCGUCAGACAGUCCAGUCCGACCCAACCGAAAAAUUUCUGGCUGCAACCAUGCUCCACCGUGCAUCAUGUCCGCCCUGCACAUCUUCGUGCAUUCCUUAAUGCCCUGUGUAUGCAUAAUCCCAUCACGACACGCUUGUCGGCGCCGCUCUCCCAUGUACAACUUCCGUAUACAUCAAGAAGAAAAAUCCCAAAAGAACCUUCAUUGUAGCCUACCGUAUGCAUGUAGCAAAAAACAGUCAAAUAUUACUUUGACCAAGCAAGGCCACGCCUCAUGAUUCCUUCCAUGGGUUACACCAUCUUCUUUUCCUUUUUCUUCAAACAAAUCAUGUGCCUUUGCUCCUCGCAUUGUACGUAUACACAUAACACAUCCCAGCCUCUGUACGGCUGCGUGCCAUCACUGGAACGAAAAACCAACUCCAAACAUUGACCUUGUUGUCCAACCCCGAACACGCCUCGACUGCAGACCACCACAGUGCCACGCCCUGCCUUAGAUCUUGAGUCCUCAGCUAGCUCAGGUCGCCCAGCCGCAGCCUCACUGGGCCAGCAAGCCACCACGCAUGGUUGAGGCAACACCUGACCCCCGUAGUAGCGGUGCCCAACGACACGCUACGCUAGGGCAACCACGCGUCGUUAUCAUGAUCGACUGCUGUUGUACAUGCACGUUGAAUCGAUCUUGUUCGAUCCUCCGAGAGCCUCGAUUGCUUCCAAACAAUUAUCGACGAUGCUUCCAUCUUUCAUGUUGCCACAAUCCAAUCUGCUCCGAACUCAACUCAAACGAUAGCCUCCGAUCUCACAACAAUGCAUUGAUCUACGUCGUCGACAAUUCCUUUAGAUCAACUUCCACAACCUCUUUAAACCUUGCUCUGAUACCACUUGUUAGACUAAUCCGAGGCACUUCGUCGAUCUACCGAGGACCAAGCAAUCACACAAGCACGACACCGAGAUUUGUUAACAAGGUUCACCGAUAUGGCUACAUCCCCGGGGCCUGACUACGGGCGCUCCUCCCCGUGACACCGUCACAAUACCGCACCUCGACAGUUCGAGCGCCGGCACACGCCGCCGGCUCCCCCGCGUACCUGUGCUACUAUGUUGGCAUAGGUUACAUCGUGUGUCUACCCCACUAUAUAUGAGAGGCCUAGGAUACAGGUGUCCUAUCAGGACACGACCCCAUAUCCUGUCUAAACACAAUACUACUUAGAGUCCAACUGUAACCUACCGUGUACACAAUAUUUGACACAACUCUAACAGCUAAUACUUGAACCAGCAAAGAGAGAGAAACAGGAAAAUUCAUACAGUGGAAAAGGGAAAAUAUAACUGAGGUGCUCCUCUCAAAUGGCCUUAUAGCCUAGUCAUUCUUCCAACUCAAAUAAAUUGAGGUCUCAAAAAAAUCUGGGAAAAGGGACCAUUGUUGGGUGUUCUGUGGUAUACGUGUA
RNAcentral lists this long non-coding RNA (2516 nucleotides) under Hordeum vulgare. RNAcentral's name for it is "long non-coding RNA (HVUL_LNC020298)". The record is from RNAcentral. Lineage: Eukaryota; Viridiplantae; Streptophyta; Magnoliopsida; Poales; Poaceae.